CACGCAUAAAUGUCGAUAAUAAAAAGCCAUAUAAAUUCCUAAGCUGAUUUCUAAUUUAUUUAUCUUUUUUGUCUUACUUACUUUCGGUUUUUGGUAAUUGCUAGCGCGCGUACUUCGAAUCUACAUAUGUAAUAGCAUUUCUUUGCAAUAAUACUUUAACUUGACAAGCUUUUUUUCUAUUGUUGUUGUAAAUUGUACUUUAGCCGACCAUUUGGUUAGCGGGCUGUAGCGCAGUUGCUGGUUGGUUUGGCUUGGUUGAGUUGCCGCCACUAAUGGUCAACGAACUUCUUUCGAACGCUCGGUUUGGCGCAAAAACAACAAAUAUUAUCAGUGGUUGAAACCCAAAAUAAAGAGCACCCACUUGAGCGCCAUCAUAACCAAAUAAAGUAAAAAAAAAAAAAAAUAUUUGCCUACAUUUGCUACUAUUUUCUUUUUUAAUCUAUAAAAAUAAUGUUAAAAAAUAAUAAAGGUGUUGGCUGGUUUUGGUUUCGGUGUUGUUGUUGAACGGAGUUUCGAAUAAGGCGGCAAGACGAACAACAGCGAGGAGGAUAAGGUUGAUGGCUUGCUUUCCGCUCGACUGGGCUCGGUGCACAGCGCAUUCGUCGUCAGCCAAAUAGCACUCCAAGCGGCCAAAUACCGACAGAGCGAGGCAAAUAAGCCAACAAGCAGCUGCUUUGCUCGUUGGAACUAAACGUGGCUUAAUUUAAGCGCUUCAUGCGGCACUGCCUUUUAUUGUAGUAUUGCAAACUUUGUUUUUUUUUUUUUGACUUCACACACUAUGCUUUCUGUAUCAUUAUUCUUAUUUCAUAUAUACGUUUUUUAUUUUGCUAAUGGGCUUUUGUAGUCAAGCGUUUCGGAAAUCAACAACGUGAAGCAACAAAUGAGUUACCGUACAUCGGCGGAAAAUAUUGUGUAAAUGUGUGUGUCAAUGCAAGGAUAUGUGUCCAUCAAGUCUCAAGAAAAUAAGGCAACCAAUGAUUUGCCAUUCUCUGGUGAACAACAGAUCCUUCAUUAAGGAUCGACACACAUAUGUGCUUUGUGAAAUCUUUUCUAUAGAAGCGAUAUUGAGUUAUAUAGUUGACAUUUGAAUAUUUAUCACAGAAUGAAAAUAAAGUAUAUAAGCAAAUUUAAA
Bactrocera oleae (olive fruit fly) is the source of this 1132-nucleotide non-coding RNA. The record is from RefSeq and is a predicted model, not a curated record. NCBI's taxonomy places the organism in Eukaryota, Metazoa, Arthropoda, Insecta, Diptera, Tephritidae.